GACGAAGAACGUAGCGAAAUGCGAUAAGUAAUGUGAAUUGCAGAUUUCAGUGAAUCAUCGAAUCUUUGAACGCACAUUGCGCUCCCUGGUAUUCCGGGGAGCAUGCCUGUUCGAGCGUCAUUACAACCCUCAAGCUCUGCUUGGUGUUGGGCCCCGCCGCCCCGGCGGGCCCUAAAGUCAGUGGCGGUGCCGUCCGGCUCCGAGCGUAGUAAUUUCUCUCGCUUUGGAGGCCCGGGCGCGUGCUUGCCAUCAACCCCCAAUUUUUUUCAGGUUGACCUCGGAUCAGGUAGGGAUACCCGCUGAACUUAAGCAUAUCAAUAAGCGGAGGA
RNAcentral lists this unclassified non-coding RNA (329 nucleotides) under soil metagenome. RNAcentral describes it as "partial contains 5.8S ribosomal RNA, internal transcribed spacer 2, and large subunit ribosomal RNA". The stretch from base 1 to 120 matches the Rfam family "5.8S ribosomal RNA", at positions 35 to 154 of the family's 154-position model. The record is from RNAcentral.